GAGAAAUAAACAAGAAAAUAGAGUUAAGUAUACUUAUGUUUGGUUAUCUUCGGAUAUCCAUUCGGGUUCGGAUAUUACCCGUUCGAAUUCAAAUAUUAUCUGAACUGGUGAAAUAAGUAAUUUGUUUUGUUGUUCUAAUUUGAUUAUUUUUAGACCGAGCUGGUGAAUAUAUACUAGACAAACAUUUAUAUUUUGAGUUUGCACUUAUAUUCUAUAACAUUUUGAUAUGUUAGAUUUGAACACUAACCUAUUAAUAUAGUUUGCCGGUGAUUUUUUUUCAAAAUUUUGAUUCUUAGAUAUGUAUAUGGAGUGAAACUAAUUUUUACAGAUGUACAUUUUUUAAAUUGACACUUAUGUAAUUCACUGAAUUCAUAAAAGAAGUUAAAAAAAAAACUUAACUCAUAUCAAUGAAACAAAGACGAGAACGAAAGUACAAUUCUAUAGAUGUAGAAAAUGAAAUCACUUACGGAGAGUCAAUAGUAAACAAAUCGAGUGCAGAAAACCUAAUCUCCUUUUGUCAUUAUACAAUUGAUGUUGCCUAUUUGGUUUUGGUGAUUUGUGUCUGCCGCAAAACUUAAUUUUCUUUUGUGUAUAUGAAGUCUUAAAAAUAAUUAAAAUGAGAUGCAAUACGUUAACUCUUCAACAACGAUGAUAUAUUUAAGAGACCAACAUUUGUAUUCAUCAUUUUAUAAUUGAUAAAGAUCGUAGUGUGGCAAAAUGUUAAAAUCAUUUCUUAAAUAAACAUUAUUAUAAAAACUCACCCCGGAUUAUCAUCUAGUUAUACUUUAUUUGAUGGCUAGUGAAGCCAAUUUCCCUAAAAAAAAAAGCCAAAGCCAUCCAUCACACCAAAUAUAUAAACUAGAUUUAUCGGAGAGAUGAUAGAAAAAGUGGUAAAAAAAUUAAAAAAAUAGCCAAAGCCAACUUAUGCAUCCACCUUCACGCUACAUAAGCUGAAAUCAAAACCUAAGUGCAAAAGACACAAUACUAUGCUUCUUGUCUAAAAGAUGUUUCUACUACACUUCUAAUGUCCCACAAUCCAAGUCCACCGCCCUAAGCUUUCCACUUUAAAUUACAUAUCCAUAAUUGAUAUGGAGAAAAGAUCGCAAGCCUAUCCUGAGGCCAAACUCAUCGCUUCCUCUUCUUAGCGGACUUGGUCUGACUUGCCUGCGACUUGCCUGAAAACAACUGAUUUCCCUUUUUAGAUGGUUCUGGUGCCUUCAGUGUCUCUUCUGAUGCAGACUCCACAACGCUCUCCUUGCCCCUGGAGGAAGGUGAAGAUUUUGCUUGCCUUUUGCUGCUUUGCCCUUGGCCGAUGAAGGUUUUGCAGGUCCUGACUUGGAUUUUGAAGACAUCAUUGUAGUCUUGGACGGCUCUUCUUUUUUCUUGGAUGAAGCUUUGGAUUUGCCAGAGUCUCCUUGGUCCUUUGAUGUUCCAGCUUUUGCAGGAGCAGCUUUAGACUUGCUGGAACCAGCUCCACCACCCCAAAUCAGAAGCAUUAUAAUUAACAAUCUUGUAGGACUUUUAACACUUUUUAAACUAUUUGCUUUCAGUUUCAUUUACUUUUUCCCUAACAAUUCCAUCUUUGAUUGCUUGCUUGUCUUAGCUUUCUUUCUCUGAGGCCUGCAUGGAGAAUUACCAAGCUUGGUCAUCCUCCUAAGAGUAGCAAAUUCAUCUAAAAACAACAUAUAGUUACUCUAUUCCAGUGCCACAUAACAUCGAAAAUAGAGAAGUAACACUUACUCUGUGGAAGCUUCUUCCUCAUACAAAAGAAUAUGUACAAUCAGUGGGUUAAUGGUUCACCACAAACAAAAGAGAAGAACAAAACAUAGUGUUAUUGAGGAAACUGAUAAAAUUGGGCUUACGAGAUGUUUCUUCUUAGCAGAAUCAUAUAAUUUGAUCACAGCUUUAAAAUACGUGCAGCAAAAAUCCAAUAUUCAUUUAUAAGCAUGGACAAACUACCGAAGGUGUUAGUCCAGUUCCAGCUAUCUACAGGAAAAAUACAUAGACUAGCGGAUUGCAUUGAUGUAAAUCAAAUAUAACUCCUAAGAUAAAAUACAAAAUGCUUACUCUUUAUCGAUAGGCAACCAGACUCUGACCCUCACCCAACUAAGUUUCCAGCAUGGCUUUGGAUAUCAGAUGCCUGCCAAGGGAAAAUGAUGUAGAAGUCGGAUAACCAGACUGAGAUAAACGAUAUAACAAAAUAACAUGUUAAGGAAAUUGACGAUUUGUAAAGCGAAUACAAGAACGAUAAGAAAUCGUAUUCGCAAAUAAA
This is a long non-coding RNA of Brassica napus (rape), 2272 nucleotides long. RefSeq lists it as uncharacterized. The record is from RefSeq and is a predicted model, not a curated record. NCBI's taxonomy places the organism in Eukaryota, Viridiplantae, Streptophyta, Magnoliopsida, Brassicales, Brassicaceae. The transcript is spliced from 2 exons.